Molecule: ribosomal RNA, 511 nt
Filed under: uncultured bacterium
Lineage: Bacteria
Description: bacterial SSU rRNA
Rfam family: Bacterial small subunit ribosomal RNA
Source: RNAcentral
GGAUGAACGCUGGCGGCGUGCCUAAUACAUGCAAGUCGAGCGAACAGAUAAGGAGCUUGCUCCUUUGACGUUAGCGGCGGACGGGUGAGUAACACGUGGGUAACCUACCUAUAAGACUGGAAUAACUCCGGGAAACCGGGGCUAAUGCCGGAUAAUAUUUAGAACCGCAUGGUUCUAAAGUGAAAGAUGGUUUUGCUAUCACUUAUAGAUGGACCCGCGCCGUAUUAGCUAGUUGGUGGGGUAAUGGCUUACCAGGGCAACGAUACGUAGCCGACCUGAGAGGGUGAUCGGCCACACUGGAACUGAGACACGGUCCAGACUCCUACGGGAGGCAGCAGUAGGGAAUCUUCCGCAAUGGGCGAAAGCCUGACGGAGCAACGCCGCGUGAGUGAUGAAGGUCUUCGGAUCGUAAAACUCUGUUAUUAGGGAAGAACAAAUGUGUAAGUAACUGUGCACGUCUUGACGGUACCUAAUCAGAAAGCCACGGCUAACUACGUGCCAGCAGCCGCGG